This 443-nucleotide ribosomal RNA is filed under the name uncultured bacterium. Its description in RNAcentral is "partial 16S ribosomal RNA". It matches the Rfam family "Bacterial small subunit ribosomal RNA", at positions 338 to 795 of the family's 1533-position model. The record is from RNAcentral.
CCUACGGGGGACAGCAGUGGGGAAUAUUGGGCAAUGGAGGCAACUCUGACCCAGCAACGCCGCGUGAAUGAUGAAGGUCUUCGGAUUGUAAAGUUCUGUGAUGGGGGAUGAACACAAUGACGGUACCCCAAUAGCAAGCCACGGCUAACUACGUGCCAGCAGCCGCGGUAAUACGUAGGUGGCAAGCGUUAUCCGGAAUGACUGGGCGUAAAGGGUGCGUAGGUGGUUUAGUAAGUUGGCGGUGUAAUUCCGGGGCUCAACCUCGGCGCUACCGCCAAAACUAUUAGACUAGAGUGCGCGGAAGGCAGGCGGAAUUCGUGGUGUAGCGGUGAAAUGCUUAGAUAUCACGAAGAACCCCGAUUGCGAAGGCAGCCUGCCGCAGCGUUACUGACGCUGAAGCUCGAAAGCGCGGGUAUCGAACAGGAUUAGAUACCCCUGUAGUC